UCAACGGCGGCAGAGGCGACGAGGGCUACGAGGAAUACGAAGGGGAAAAGGACGACAAGAAGGACGAGAACGAUUAUUUUCGAUUAUUCUCCUCUUACCUUACGAACGCGCGACCGUCAUCACCGUUCGCCCUCUCAUCUGUAUGCCUUGUGUACGCCCCCACCUUCACCGAUUUUCCAUGAAUGUUAACAUUGUCUUCCCACAGCCGCUGGUAAUGCAAAUACCCUUCCUUGAUCUGAAGUCUGCAAGAUGGUUCUCAUCGUCAAGUUCCAAUUUUAGCUGAGAGUAAUACAGAAAUAGCGAAACAAAAUUGGUCCAGCUUGGUGGUAAUGCGGGGAUGUGGAUCUGCUUCGACCCGAUAGGAAGCCGAGACGGCUGGGGUGCUUCCAUUUCGUUCGUCGUGCUUCUAUACUGGACCUCCAUCACCAUCGAUGCCAGCCUAACGAAUGCGGCCGCGUCCAAUGUCCCACGUAAUACCGUUACGUCGGAGAUAUCGGUACCAACGUCGGCACACCACGAGAACGACGAAUGCAGGAAUGUGACCACUGACAAUAGAGAGGGUACUGGACUGUCAGUGGUCAGCCAUGGAUCCGGUUAUCCUCAUUCGCCGAUAGUGCCUCCAACCUUCCUGUACGGAGCUCUUACCUGCCAACCCUAUCAAGGAAUUUAUGUGAACCACAUCUACUUUCAACUCGCAAAUGCCUUCUUCCUAUUGUCACACCUUGCACCAAGCGGCAUACAUGGUGUACUCUAUUUAAGGUGCACUCUACUCGUGGGCUGUGCCUUUCUUGCUUUGUGGGGCUGGACAAUAGCUUGCUGGCUGGACGCUGCUCUCUGGAAUGUUCUCUUUGUUGCCAUCAACUUCGUCCAUGUAUGCACGCUUCUUUACAAGCUCAGGCCUAUCAAGUUUUCAAGGGAAAUUGAAGAGGUGUACAUUGCAGUGUUCCAGCCGUUACGGGUGUCUCGUCAUCAAUUUAGAAAAGUACUAAAUUGCAUGAAGGUUAUUCGCCAGUUAAAGUAUCAAGAGGUUUAUGCGCAGGAGAAAGUGACCAAAGUUGAUUCUUUAUCAUUGGUGCUGUCGGGAAAGCUAGUGGUUUCGCAAAAUGGGAGAGCGUUGCAUAUUGUCUUCCCACAUCAGUUCCUGGAUUCUCCAGAAUGGUUUGGCGUUUCGACAGACGAGUACUUCCAGGUGUCAAUAACAGCUAUGGAGGAGUCAAGGAUAUUAUUAUGGCAUAGGGACAAACUAAAAUUAAGCAUAAUUACCGAUCAAUUCCUGCAAGCAGUAUUUGAUCAUAUUCUGGGCAGAGAUGUUGUUAAGAAAUUGAUGCAGGUCAGUGAAACGAUGGCUGCUAGUAGUCAUCAGCAACAGAAUGGACAGAUAAUUGGUCUAGGUGGAAUUGGAGCCUUAGAAAACGAUACUGAUACGAAGCUUUUCGUUGUAAAAAAGACUGGUGACAGUCAAGGCAUCACUGCUCUCAUCAGUCGUCAACUUCAAGAAGAGAGAAUGCCGCUGCUGUACACGAGUCAAGAGGUACUGAGCAAUACCUUACACCAUGCGAAUCACCUCAAUGUACCUCGUACGUUUCCUUUACACCCUAUACCGUUCGAAAAAAACGUUCAAUCCUCGCUAUAAUAUCCUUGCCUGUCUGUGUGCAACGCUCUAGCACAGAAUCAUAUAUGGUGUACAUGUUAUGUUCCUGCAAUGGAUGCGCGCAUACAUUACACAAAUGUUACAGAGUAACACCAUUUAUUAUUUUUCCUGGGUAUUGUACCGAGCGGCAGGAGAUCCGAACGCUUGGAGAUUGGGAAGAAUCGAAGAGACUGAUCACGAAACACCCGUUUAAUGGAAAGAUUGUUAAGUCGACGUCAUCCUCGACAGUCAAUAUAACAUAACACCGGUGUUUUUACAUAAUGCGAUUACAACAAGCAGACAUUCAUCGUGACGAAAACCACACAAGGCACAUUUAAACUGUGCGCGGAACAAUUGAACAUUCUCUUGCCAAUUAAUAAUUUUCUCACGACUAGUCAACUGUAUGCGAUAAUAUGAAAAAUUCCAUCGUUUUGUAGCAUAUAAUUCCACCCUAGUUUAUAAAAAGCGAGUAAUUGAUAAGUUUAUGCUUCCAGUGUAUUUUUGAGUAUGCCUGAGCAAUUGAACUUACGAAUGGUUAUUUAUAAUUUACUUUGUGAAGUCGGUAUGUUUUCUGACAGAUGAACAAUGACUGAGACUUUAUAAAAGUGUGUACAAUGAGAUAUAAGGAUGGCACGUUCGCGGCGGCGUAACUUCUGUUGAUGCAAGGUCUGUGAUCGUGAAGGUACUCGAUAGAAAUUCAGGGAGGCCUAAAGAAACAAAUUCUUUCCCAUAUCCAGAAAUAGUGCCUUUUUACUUACACUUCCUUUCUUAAUGUUUCCACGGAGAAAAUAUAUAUACAGUAAUAUGUAUGACUUAAUGUAUCUAGUAGAAUUCUCCAAAUGUCGCUGUAUUACAUGUUCGAAGGUCCAUGUUAUGAUACUGUUAAUCAACUGGUGUUUUAAUGGGGUCAAAGAAAUACACGAAGUUACGCCAUUAUUAUCGCAUUGGAUGUUACAAAAUGUGAUGUGAAGGGAUAUUGUUGCGAAGUUUGUUCAUUACAUUCUAGAUACGCCGAAUUGCGUAUAUAACAUUCGGCAUUUAACGUAAAAAAAAAACAAAUUGCUGUAAUGCCAGCAUGAUUGACGAUUAUUGUGCGUUCACUGCAAAAUAUUAUGUUUUGUUAUGGUUUCUUUGCGAACGAUGCGUAUAAUAAUUAUUUUGCAUAAUUCAGCUCAAGCGAAAGUAAAUCCUUUAACGUUUCAGCUGUGUAUCUUAUAAAAUGAAACUGAAGAUGAUUACAUACUUGUAAAAGGAUCACAGAUAUUACAAUUAAAAAAAGAAAAAAAAACGAUAGAGAAGGACAGUAUCAGGAUAAUGGAGCUUAAAACAAGUCUCGGUUUUGACGAUUAAAAUAUUCUAAUAAUCAAAGUAUCAGAAGGAGAGAAUUCCUCCCGAAACAACUUUGUUCAAUCUUUGCAACUAUUGUAUUGAAGAUUAGCAUCAUGUUACUAAAAUAUUGAUAUCAUGCCCAGUUAAGGUUGUAAUACAUACUUUAAAAAGACUUUUUAUAUGUACAAUCAUAACAGAACAUAUUCUAUUUCGAGUAUUGCAGAUAGUUUAUCGCAUGAUAUAACAAUGUUCUCUAUUACAUAUACAUACUGCAUAUCUAUAACGAUAUUUUGGUCUGGGGGAUAUCAUUUUACCUAGCGAAAUACGAAAUGUAGGAAUGCCUUUUGAUAUGUACAAGUGUGGAAUGCAGGACCAUAAGAUUUAACAUCUUUUGCAUAUGAACCGUAUACAAAGAGAAUGGAGUGUGUAUUACUUUCCAUAUAAAUGUGAAUUAUAUGUUAUUGAAUAUUUGUUGUUUAUCGUCUCUAAUUGUUGUUACGAUUAUUUUUAUACGUGAAAUUGUUUUUAGUAACAUAGAUAUUGAAAGAAAGUAUGAGUGACGAAAGAGCGAGCGAAAGAGAGAGUAGGAGAGAAAUGGAGAGAGAAUAUAAAUCUCACAUUGAAUACAAUAAGAAUGAGUAUAAAGUGGUGAUACGAAUAAAGAAAGUUAGUUUUA
RNAcentral lists this unclassified non-coding RNA (3635 nucleotides) under Harpegnathos saltator (Jerdon's jumping ant). RNAcentral's name for it is "popeye domain-containing protein 3, transcript variant X4". The record is from RNAcentral. Lineage: Eukaryota; Metazoa; Arthropoda; Insecta; Hymenoptera; Formicidae.